RNAcentral lists this unclassified non-coding RNA (308 nucleotides) under Hevea brasiliensis (rubber tree). Lineage: Eukaryota; Viridiplantae; Streptophyta; Magnoliopsida; Malpighiales; Euphorbiaceae. The record is from RNAcentral.
CUUCAUCCAUUAAAGAGUAAUGGAAAUUCACACCCAAGAAAAUUGCUUAAUGGUGCUGGUUUGAAUCUGUCUACUCAAUCAUCAGACCAUAGCAAUGGUGAGAGCAUGGACCUUUCUCCUGUCUCCCACAAGCGGAAAAAAGAUUAUUUGCCACUUGGAAAUGAUGAUGAAUGUUUGGCUAACAAUUCUCAUGGUGACAGAGUUGAUAUGAAUAUCCAUCCAGUUGAGCCAGCAUGGAUAAAUGAGUUCAGUGGAGUAUUGAAGAAUGUAUAUGGGCCCGUUACAGCAGCAAAAACAAUAUAUGAAGA